CACGACUCCUCCUGGAGAAGGGGAAAGUUCCACCAUGAACCAGGAGGACAGAACAACUGAGCCCACUGCCAACACCUCCCCUUCCCUCCCUGCCACAUCCCUGACAACCCCAUCCCCGACAAACCUCAAUACAGCAACAUCUGUCAAUCCUUCUAUUACUACAACUUGUUUGACAGAGUCCAUCAGAGUACAGAAUGUGACUGCAGAAGAAAUUCACCUCAGCUGGAGCAGCAGCAGCAGCACAGGCGGCCUCUACAGCAUCUCUGUCAAGGAUGGAAAUGAGAUAAAUACAAGAACUACAAAUGAGACAGAAACUGUGAUUGAAAACCUGCUUCCUGGCCAUGUGUACACCAUUUCUGUGGCACUGUCAUCUUGUGCUGGGAGCAAUCCUGCUUCAGUCACUGUCCGAACAGAUUAUGGUUCCUGUUUCAAAGGGACUGAGUUUUGUUUAGCACAAAGUACUGGCUGUUCUGACUUGAAAGGCGUGGCGUGCUCCAAUAACCAAGCAUUUUCCUGCAAAGUUCGGUUGGAAAAUGAGAAAUUUAAUAAUACACUUUAUAACUCUGAUAGUGAAGGCUACAUAAAUAUGUCUAAAAGACUCAAAACAGAGGUUCUUGAAGCAAUGAACGCUGAACUGGGGAAUAACCACUCUGAUAUUUUCAUUCUGGGGUUCAGAUCUGGCAGUGUUAUUGCUGAUUUUCUCUUUCUGCUGCCAAAAGAAGAAGCCAUGGAUGUGGGUGACAUUCAGACCCGCCUGAGUAAUGUAUUAACGAGCAAGUUUGGGAGCCAAAGUGAAGUGGAAACUGUGUCUGUUCAGACACCAGAUGACAACAUCUCCUCCUGGAGAGCAGCAGUGAUUGUCCUUGGAGUUCUGCUGGGAGUUGCAUUAGUGGUGAUUCUGCUGGCAAUUCUGUUUUACAUCCAUGGGAGGAGAAGAUCAGGUAUGGAUUUUUCUUCAUUGUACACAUGGUAGAGUGAGGAACAGAGAAACUUCUCUUCAGCCUAUCCCAUAUAGGUACUGCAAUGACUUUAACACUGGCAAUCUAGAGAGACAAGACCCAAACUACUCAAUAUUAUAUUUAGGUGGCACUGAAAACAGGGUGACUGAGCCUGGUAGCUGUGGCAGGUCACCUGAAUGCUCAGCUGAGCCCAGAGUCAUCCUGUUGAGUUUUGUGCACUUGCCCAAGGGUGAUUCACCUCCCCUGAGACUCCUAUCACUGUAUAAAAUUACAUAUAUAUAUAUAUAUAUAUAUAUAUAUAUAUAUAUAUAUAUAUAUAUAUAUAUAUAUAUAUAUAUAUAUAUAUAUAUAUAUAUAUAUAUGCCUUUUUCUCUCCUGUGACUGUAGAAUGAGCCCAGGGUAAUUAGCAAUCCAGCAUUUGCAGCUUGAUUAGGAGUUUGGAGAAAAAUGGGAUACAUCUCAGUUAUGUGCGCUUGCUGUAGAAGUCUGCUGGACAGAAACUUGAUUUGGAGGUUUCUGAAUUCAAGGUUUCUUUAAUUGCUUAAUAUGAAGAAAUAACUGUUUAUAUGUGUCAAAUGUAAGGCGUGCUAAAUCCAGCUGUGGUCUCACAGCAUAGUCUCAGAGGUGGGGAAGGCAAACAUUUGGUCCAUUUGAGCCAAAAGUAUUUUAUUCACCUAUUUUUGCCUGUCAGAAAUGGUUGGCUGAGCAAGGACAUGCCAUAUAGUGCAAUUCUGUCCUGCUCUUGAUAAUCCCAAAGUAGAGCCCAGUCCAACAGAAGCGACUCCUGUGGCAUUGGAGACCUUGCUUCAGAUUUCUUCUAAUUGCUCUAGAGCAAUUACAAGAAAUGAUCUUCACCUUUUCCCACCACUCUUCCCUGCAGUCCUGGUGGAGUUUCAUUCUGUUUCUACUGUGGUGCAGUUUUUCCUGCUUGGAAUGUGCUGAACAGAUGACAAAGGGGCAGUUUACUGCUCUACAUAUUUCCAGCAGGAUUUAUGGGUUUCAUUUCAAACCAGCCCUCCCUGUAUCUGUAUAUUUGGAAUUCCCAUUGAGGCACUGAGUAUUAACCCAUGCUGUUGAGGCCCUGGCUCACAGCCCCUGAACACCCCUGGUUUUUGGGUUUUUUUGUGGUUAUUUGGCACAGAUUUGGGUACAUUGGUGCCAGAACUGCAACACAAGCAGAGGUGCACCAGCAGCUCUGCUCUGCUCCCUGUGCAGCCAGCAUUCAUCCUUCUCAUCCCUCAUUCCCUGUGCUGUGACACAGCUCCUGGAACAGCCCUGCUGAGGACCCUGGCUGCAAUAUUAUUUUUAGCAGCAGGGACCUAUGAAACAGGGGCUUGCAUGCCUUGCACUCCCUUUCCUUCCAUGGAGGGUCAAUUUGUCUGUCCUGGCUAAGAUCUGGGGUGUGGAGUCACAGACACCUCAGUGGUGGGAAGAGAGUGAUUAGUAUUUGUUACAUUUCUAUUUUGUGGCUUUUAAAUAUAGCUAGCUCUGGUGUUCCACUCACUGAGUAGGCAUUCAGCAAUGUAUUCUGUCAGUAAAUACAAGUUAUCCAGGGAGCUCUGUUGAAAAUAAAAAUGAGUGCUCUUGCUUGUGUUAAUACUCU
Molecule: long non-coding RNA, 2562 nt
Filed under: Zonotrichia albicollis (white-throated sparrow)
Lineage: Eukaryota; Metazoa; Chordata; Aves; Passeriformes; Passerellidae
Description: lncRNA (ENSZALG00000002379.1)
Source: RNAcentral